Molecule: small nucleolar RNA, 112 nt
Filed under: Carlito syrichta (Philippine tarsier)
Lineage: Eukaryota; Metazoa; Chordata; Mammalia; Primates; Tarsiidae
Description: Small nucleolar RNA SNORA65 (ENSTSYG00000025256.2)
Source: RNAcentral
ACAGUUACCCAGUUUUCCAUGUAGUAAAAUUAAAGGAGCUGAUACUAAAUUCCAGCUUAGAAAAUGGGUAAUUCUUCAUGUGGAUGACUGUGCUGAAAGCAUGGGAGCAGCU